RNAcentral lists this ribosomal RNA (339 nucleotides) under Triticum aestivum (bread wheat). RNAcentral's name for it is "partial small subunit ribosomal RNA". The record is from RNAcentral. Lineage: Eukaryota; Viridiplantae; Streptophyta; Magnoliopsida; Poales; Poaceae.
AUGCCAUUGUUUAUUUGUUUGUCUACUUUUCCUCCCAUUGUUGUGAAAGUAAACAUGGAGUUGUACAAUCUGAUAUUUUGCAAGCAGUUUUUUACCUCUUUCCAUUGUCUUUCCUUAGCAAUUUCACAAGGUAAGUCGGGGGAUCUCUUAAUGGUGGCAAAUCAACUUUGCCAUGUUGGCAGCAUAGUCCAAAAGAUGGCAUGCUUUUCGCUCUACCUGAAGUUCUUUCUUUGUACCAGAAAAUUGCACCGCAUUGUUAACACUUGCAUUUUGGUUUUUCGAAGUUCCAAAUUUCCACAUCAGUCCUCUCCGAUUCCCUGUUCAAGUUUAUGUAUUUAG